AGCAAACAGCAUGUACAAAGAUCCAGAGGCUGGAGAGCACAUAGUUCAUUUAGGAAGGAGCAGAGGACAAAGUAUGGACCAUCGUGUCUCACGAUUUGCAGACGCAGAUGGCGGUGGUGCGCUACAACCCAGAAGAAUACUCAGCUCAUUUUCAGCGCCUCCAUGUGGGCAGGAUGUCACCUAUUUCUGCAAGGUGUCGAGGUUGUGGAACCCCCCAGACACCUUUUCAGAGGAUGAACUACUAGAUUGAAAUCAAGAGUGAACUGUUAGGGCUUCCCUGGUGGCACAGUCAUUAAGAAUCCUCCUGCCAAUGCAGGGGACACUGGUUCGAGCCCUGGUCCGGGAAGAUCCCACAUGCCAUGGAGCAACUAAGCCCACGCGCCAUAACUACUGAGCCUGCGCUCUAGAGCCCGCAAGCCACAACUACUGAGCCCGUGAGCCACAACUACUGAGCCCGUGUGCCACAACUACUGAAGCCCGUGCGCCUUGAGCCCGUGCUCCACAGCAAGAGAAGCCACUGCAAUGAGAAGCCCGCACACCACGACGAAGAGUAGCCCCCGCUCGCCGCAACUAGAGAAAGCCCACGUGCAGCAACUGAGACCCAACGCAGCCAAAAAUAAAUAAAUAAAAUAAAUUAAUUAAAAAAAGAAAAGAGUGAACUGUUAAUCUGCACAGUAAGCAC
Long non-coding RNA from Balaenoptera acutorostrata (minke whale), 682 nucleotides. RefSeq lists it as uncharacterized. The transcript is spliced from 3 exons. NCBI's taxonomy places the organism in Eukaryota, Metazoa, Chordata, Mammalia, Artiodactyla, Balaenopteridae. The record is from RefSeq and is a predicted model, not a curated record.